CUAGUUUUAUUUAAUUAAUUCGCUUUUGAUUUCUUUCUUUUAUUGAUUUAAUUAAUUUUUCUUUCUUUCUUUUGUUGCAGGUAGAUUUUGGCCCAAGCUUUGUAAUAAUUAACCCACUUAGCAUACUUGCAAAUUGUUAGCUUAAUUUUUAUAUUAUUUUUUUAUUUUCCCGUCUAAUUCUUACUUUACUGUGUUAGGCCAUAAAUUC
Molecule: long non-coding RNA, 208 nt
Filed under: Gossypium raimondii (Peruvian cotton)
Lineage: Eukaryota; Viridiplantae; Streptophyta; Magnoliopsida; Malvales; Malvaceae
Description: long non-coding RNA (GRAI_LNC002858)
Source: RNAcentral